This 67-nucleotide transfer RNA is filed under the name human gut metagenome. It matches the Rfam family "tRNA". From Rfam's summary of the family: Transfer RNA (tRNA) molecules are approximately 80 nucleotides in length. Their secondary structure includes four short double-helical elements and three loops (D, anti-codon, and T loops). Further hydrogen bonds mediate the characteristic L-shaped molecular structure. tRNAs have two regions of fundamental functional importance: the anti-codon, which is responsible for specific mRNA codon recognition, and the 3' end, to which the tRNAs corresponding amino acid is attached (by aminoacyl-tRNA synthetases). tRNAs cope with the degeneracy of the genetic code in two manners: having more than one tRNA (with a specific anti-codon) for a particular amino acid; and 'wobble' base-pairing, i.e. permitting non-standard base-pairing at the 3rd anti-codon position. RNAcentral also lists the same sequence under 3 other names. The record is from RNAcentral.
GGGAAUAGCUCAGUGGUAGAGCUCCACCUUGCCAAGGUGGAUGUCGCGGGUUCAAGUCCCGUUUCCC